ACGCUNUAAACGAUGUCGACUUGGAGGUUGUGCCCUUGAGGCGUGGCUUCCGGAGCUAACGCGUUAAGUCGACCGCCUGGGGAGUACGGCCGCAAGGUUAAAACUCAAAUGAAUUGACGGGGGCCCGCACAAGCGGUGGAGCAUGUGGUUUAAUUCGAUGCAACGCGAAGANCCUUACCUACUCUUGACAUCCACGGAACUUGCCAGAGAUGGCUUGGUGCCUUCGGGAACCGUGAGACAGGUGCUGCAUGGCUGUCGUCAGCUCGUGUUGUGAAAUGUUGGGUUAAGUCCCGCAACGAGCGCAACCCUUAUCCUUUGUUGCCAGCACUUCGGGUGGGAACUCAAGGGAGACUGCCGGUGAUAAACCGGAGGAAGGUGGGGAUGACGUCAAGUCAUCAUGGCCCUUACGGCCAGGGCUACACACGUGCUACAAUGGCGCGUACAGAGGGCUGCAAGCUAGCGAUAGUGAGCGAAUCCCAAAAAGCGCGUCGUAGUCCGGAUUGGAGUCUGCAACUCGACUCCAUGAGGUCGGAAUCGCUAGUAAUCGCAAAUCAGAAUGUUGCGGUGAAUACGUUCCCGGGCCUUGUACACACCGCCCGUCACACCAUGGGAGUGGGUUGCACCAGAAGUAGAUAGCUUAACCUUCGGGAGGGCGUUUACCACGGUGUGAUUCAUGACUGGGGUG
RNAcentral lists this ribosomal RNA (685 nucleotides) under uncultured prokaryote. Its description in RNAcentral is "bacterial SSU rRNA". It matches the Rfam family "Bacterial small subunit ribosomal RNA", at positions 797 to 1482 of the family's 1533-position model. The record is from RNAcentral.